This 511-nucleotide ribosomal RNA is filed under the name uncultured bacterium. Its description in RNAcentral is "partial 16S ribosomal RNA". The record is from RNAcentral.
GGAGUUAGCCGGUGCUUCUUCUGCGAGUAACGUCACAGAUGUAAGGUAUUAACUUACACCCUUUCCUCCUCGCUGAAAGUGCUUUACAACCCGAAGGCCUUCUUCACACACGCGGCAUGGCUGCAUCAGGGUUUCCCCCAUUGUGCAAUAUUCCCCACUGCUGCCUCCCGUAGGAGUCUGGGCCGUGUCUCAGUCCCAGUGUGGCUGAUCAUCCUCUCAGACCAGCUAGGGAUCGUCGCCUAGGUGAGCCUUUACCUCACCUACUAGCUAAUCCCACCUGGGCUUAUCCAUCAGCGCAAGGCCCGAAGGUCCCCUGCUUUCCCCCGUAGGGCGUAUGCGGUAUUAGCAGUCGUUUCCAACUGUUAUCCCCCACAAAUGGGCAAAUUCCCAGGCAUUACUCACCCGUCCGCCGCUCGUCAUCUUCAAAGCAAGCUUUUGAAAUGUUACCGCUCGACUUGCAUGUGUUAGGCCUGCCGCCAGCGUUCCAAUCUGAGCCAUGAUCAAACUCUGA